Molecule: long non-coding RNA, 475 nt
Organism: Pan paniscus (pygmy chimpanzee)
Lineage: Eukaryota; Metazoa; Chordata; Mammalia; Primates; Hominidae
Source: Ensembl
CAACUUGAUGAGUCAUCAAAAGGACUGGGCCACUGGAUUCUACCUGGCAAGAACUUCAGUGGCUGUGCCUGUGGCCUUUGACGCUCAUCCUGACUCCUGAUUGAUGAAUUAUUUGGUCGACUGAGGCAGAAUCACCUUUACUGGAGCAUAAUCUGUUGGAGGCAGCAUCUCCUGAAGUCUCCAUGAGUUGCUGGAAUGAAGAUGCAAGAGGAAAUUUGGAGAUGUUGCUUGAAAGUUUAAGUAUUGGUGUUACCAAACCAUUAGAAUAUUACAUAUGGACAACACCCAUCCAUUAGAAUAUUACGUAUGGACAACAUGGUGGAACAUUUCGAAUAAGGUUUGUCCCACAAAAUCCAAUAUAAAUGUUUGCUUUUGUCCUUUUUAAUGAUAUUGCAUUUGAAUUAUACUGAGUACAUUAUGACAUAUGAAGCUCUCAGACUGUAGGAUGGGAACAGCCAGACUUUAUGCAGUGCAG